AACGUACGCUGGCGGCACGCCUAACACAUGCAAGUCGAACGAAGUAGCAAUACUUAGUGGCAGACGGGUGAGUAACAUGUAGGUAUCUGCCCUUUGGCCUGGAAUAACACGAGGAAACUUGUGCUAAUACCGGAUAAGUCUUUACGGAGAAAGCUUUAUGCACCAUUGGAUGAGCCUGCACUUGAUUAGUUUGUUGGCGGGGUAAUGGCCUACCAAGACUGUGAUCAAUAGCUGAUUUGAGAGGAUGAUCAGCCACAUUGGGACUGAGACACGGCCCAAACUCCUACGGGAGGCAGCAGUGGGGAAUCUUGCACAAUGGAGGAAACUCUGAUGCAGCGAUGCCGCGUGAGUGAAGAAGGCCCUUGGGUUGUAAAGCUCUUUCGUCGGGGAAGAAAAUGACUGUACCCGAAUAAGAAGGUCCGGCUAACUUCGUGCCAGCAGCCGCGGUAAUACGAAGGGACCUAGCGUAGUUCGGAAUUACUGGGCUUAAAGAGUUCGUAGGUGGUUGAAAAAGUUAGUGGUGAAAUCCCAGAGCUUAACUCUGGAACUGCCAUUAAAACUUUUCAGCUAGAGUAUGAUAGAGGAAAGCAGAAUUUCUAGUGUAGAGGUGAAAUUCGUAGAUAUUAGAAAGAAUACCAAUUGCGAAGGCAGCUUUCUGGAUCAUUACUGACACUGAGGAACGAAAGCAUGGGUAGCGAAGAGGAUUAGAUACCCUCGUAGUCCAUGCCGUAAACGAUGUGUGUUAGACGUUGGAAAUUUAUUUUCAGUGUCGCAGGGAAACCGAUAAACACACCGCCUGGGGAGUACGACCGCAAGGUUAAAACUCAAAUGAAUUGACGGGGACCCGCACAAGUAGUGGAGCAUGUGGUUUAAUUCGAAGAUACGCGCAGAACCUUACCAACACUUGACAUGUUCGUCGCGACUCUAAGAGAUUAGAGUUUUCGGUUCGGCCGGACGAAACACAGGUGCUGCAUGGCUGUCGUCAGCUCGUGUCGUGAGAUGUUGGGUUAAGUCCCGCAACGAGCGCAACCCUCACUUUUAGUUGCCAUCAUUAAGUUGGGCACUCUGAAAGAACUGCCAGUGAUAAGCUGGAGGAAGGUGGGGAUGACGUCAAGUCCUCAUGGCCCUUACGUGUUGGGCUACACACGUGCUACAAUGGUAUCUACAACAGGAAGCAAGACUGCGAAGUUAAGCAAAUCCCUAAAAGAUACCUCAGUUCGGAUUGCACUCUGCAACUCGAGUGCAUGAAGCUGGAAUUACUAGUAAUCGUGGAUCAGCGUGCCACGGUGAAUGCGUUCCCGGGUCU
This 1306-nucleotide ribosomal RNA is filed under the name uncultured bacterium. RNAcentral describes it as "bacterial SSU rRNA". It matches the Rfam family "Bacterial small subunit ribosomal RNA", at positions 28 to 1381 of the family's 1533-position model. The record is from RNAcentral.